This 367-nucleotide ribosomal RNA is filed under the name uncultured bacterium. RNAcentral's name for it is "bacterial SSU rRNA". It matches the Rfam family "Bacterial small subunit ribosomal RNA", at positions 527 to 896 of the family's 1533-position model. The record is from RNAcentral.
GAAGGUGGCAAGCGUUAUUCGGAUUUACUGGGCGUACAGGGAGCGUAGGCGGUUCGGUAAGCCCUCUGUGAAAUCUUCAGGCUUAACCUGGAAAAGUCGGAGGGGACUGCUGGGCUAGAGGACGGGAGAGGAGCGCGGAAUUCCCGGUGUAGCGGUGAAAUGCGUAGAGAUCGGGAGGAAGGCCGGUGGCGAAGGCGGCGCUCUGGAACGUUUCUGACGCUGAGGCUCGAAAGCGUGGGGAGCAAACAGGAUUAGAUACCCUGGUAGUCCACGCCUUAAACUAUGAAUACUAAGUGUCGGCGGGUUACCGCCGGUGCCGCAGCUAACGCAUUAAGUAUUCCGCCUGGGAAGUACGGCCGCAAGGUUG